GAAAUGCGAUAAGUAGUGUGAAUUGCAGAAUUCAGUGAAUCAUCGAAUCUUUGAACGCACAUUGCGCCCUUUGGUAUUCCAAAGGGCAUGCCUGUUCGAGCGUCAUUUGUACCCUCAAGCUUUGCUUGGUGUUGGGCGUCUUGUCUCCAGUUCGCUGGAGACUCGCCUUAAAGUAAUUGGCAGCCGGCCUACUGGUUCCGGAGCGCAGCACAAGUCGCGCUCUCUUCCAGCCAAGGUCAGCAUCCACAAAGCCUUUUUUCAACUUUUGACCUCGGAUCAGGUAGGGAUACCCGCUGAACUUAAGC
Molecule: unclassified non-coding RNA, 305 nt
Filed under: plant metagenome
Description: partial contains 5.8S ribosomal RNA, internal transcribed spacer 2, and large subunit ribosomal RNA
Rfam family: 5.8S ribosomal RNA (bases 1-105)
Source: RNAcentral